AGUGAACGCUGGCGGCAGGCCUAACACAUGCAAGUCGAACGGUAGCACAGAGGAGCUUGCUCCUUGGGUGACGAGUGGCGGACGGGUGAGGAAUACAUCGGAAUCUACCCUGUCGUGGGGGAUAACGUAGGGAAACUUACGCUAAUACCGCAUACGAACUGAGGUUGAAAGCAGGGGACCGCAAGGCCUUGCGCGAUUGGAUGAGCCGAUGUCCGAUUAGCUAGUUGGUAAGGUAAAGGCUUACCAAGGCGACGAUCGGUAGCUGGUCUGAGAGGAUGAUCAGCCACACUGGAACUGAGACACGGUCCAGACUCCUACGGGAGGCAGCAGUGGGGAAUAUUGGACAAUGGGCGCAAGCCUGAUCCAGCCAUGCCGCGUGUGUGAAGAAGGCCUUCGGGUUGUAAAGCACUUUUGUUGGGAAAGAAAAGCGGUCGGUUAAUACCCGGUCGUACUGACGGUACCCAAAGAAUAAGCACCGGCUAACUACGUGCCAGCCGCCGCAGUAA
RNAcentral lists this ribosomal RNA (506 nucleotides) under uncultured bacterium. Its description in RNAcentral is "partial 16S ribosomal RNA". It matches the Rfam family "Bacterial small subunit ribosomal RNA", at positions 29 to 523 of the family's 1533-position model. The record is from RNAcentral.